GACGAACGCUGGCGGCGUGCUUAACACAUGCCAGUCGAACGGAAAGCCCCUGCUUUUGUGGGGUGCUCGAGUGGCGAACGGGUGAGUAACACGUGAGUAACCUGCCCUUGACUUUGGGAUAACUUCAGGAAACUGGGGCUAAUACCAGAUAGGAGCUCCUGCUGCAUGGUGGGGGUUGGAAAGUUUCGGCGGUUGGGGAUGGACUCGCGGCUUAUCAGCUUGUUGGUGGGGUAGUGGCUUACCAAGGCUUUGACGGGUAGCCGGCCUGAGAGGGUGACCGGCCACAUUGGGACUGAGAUACGGCCCAGACUCCUACGGGAGGCAGCAGUGGGGAAUAUUGCACAAUGGGCGGAAGCCUGAUGCAGCAACGCCGCGUGCGGGAUGACGGCCUUCGGGUUGUAAACCGCUUUCGCCUGUGACGAAGCGUGAGUGACGGUAAUGGGUAAAGAAGCACCGGCUAACUACGUG
This 468-nucleotide ribosomal RNA is filed under the name uncultured bacterium. RNAcentral describes it as "partial 16S ribosomal RNA". It matches the Rfam family "Bacterial small subunit ribosomal RNA", at positions 28 to 507 of the family's 1533-position model. The record is from RNAcentral.